Electrophorus electricus (electric eel) is the source of this 1327-nucleotide non-coding RNA. NCBI's taxonomy places the organism in Eukaryota, Metazoa, Chordata, Actinopteri, Gymnotiformes, Gymnotidae. The record is from RefSeq and is a predicted model, not a curated record.
CGGCAGUUGAGGGCAGCUCGUGCUAGCGUGACAUCUUCAGCUCCGGCAGUCCACAGAGCACACACCAGGGAGACGCAACACCCACUUCAUUCAGGUGGAUCUGAUUUGCAGCACAGAGAAGCUGAGACCAUGCCUGAUGAGACCACCGCGAUGAUUCGAGUGAGACAGAGACAACUCAACGGCGACUUAUAGCGCGCCCUGUGCCUGGGAUGGUACCUCCUCUGCUACCCCCUACGCUGCAUUCCGUGCUACGCCCGGCUCAAAGGCCUAUGCUAUGCCAAGCUCCCAGGAUGGCAUCGCCAUCACUAAACCCUGGAGCCUGACCUGUGCUGCCUCUCAGCCUACGGCUGGACCCACGCCCCUUUUCCAGGUCCUGAGGAUCCAGUUCUAUACAGUGAUUAUCGAGGCCAUCCUUAUCUCAUCAGUAAUGAUCUAGUUUGGAUGGUUUACCUCACAUGACUGAGUGAGCCAAACUCCAAUACAUAAUAAGGACAGCAGAGAGGAUCGACUAAUGUAGCCUUCCAGUUCUUGAAGACAGUAACAAAAGUAGGAUCAUGAAAUGCGCUGGUGAGCUUAUAGCUGACCCCUCUAACCCUGGACACCAUCUCUUCCAGCGCCUUGCCUCAGCCAGAAGGGAACUGCAUUAACAUCAGUAAAUACAGAGCAAUCGAAACUGGACCUCCCAAACCCCCAGUCCUGUGGCCCAAACUGUGGCUAUACCUCUGCUACACAAUAAUGUAUAAUAGGAGCAGUAACAGGAGAAAUCCUACAACAGUGCUACUUUUAAAGUCACUCAGCUCUUCCAUACGACCCAUUCCGCUCACAGUGUCUCAUAGAGAUCGCAAUGUCAUGUGACUUAAUACACAUGUGGGCAAUAGAUUUGGCUGAAACACCUUAUAAUGUACAUAUGAAUUAUCUUUCACUGUUGCUUUGGUUUAAUUUUAUAUUAAGUUUUCAUUUGUUUUUUGUUUUUCUUGCCAACUUCUCAACUUCCUCAUUCGUUCUUUCAUUUUACCCACAGCACUUUCAAUACUGUGGCAUCAGCCACUAUAUUUAGUGAGUGGCGAAAUCAGAAGGAUGGUGAGGACUCCCAGAAUGCUGUGUACCUUCCCACAGAACUUUAGUUAGUUCAGUGUUCUAAAGAGCUGUUUAUGGUUGGCAUGUGUGCAUGUCUUAGUUUAGCCUAGUUGUGUAUUUUUAGUUUAACAAAUGUAGGAAUGUGUUACUGUCUGUGGUGAAUGUCUUAUAUUUAUCCACCACUAUUUCCCACAGUAGUGCAGUUCCUGAUUGGCUGUGUACAAUCUGUGGAGAAGAUUGUGUAGUUACA